UCGGUACCAAGUUCGCGGAAACGUUUGGCACGUUAUCAUCGUGCCUGGGUUUUCUAUCGAUGCAAUAGCGAAGAGAUAUUUUCGAUCGUUGAAAAAGAUAGUUAGAAUAUAAGGAUAUACAAGUCUACUUACAUACUACAAGUACGUACGUACGAAGAAGAAGAAGAAGAAGAAGAGGAAGAAGAAGAAGAAGAACCGUUGGUUUCUUAACGAUUACGAUAUCAGGCCCCAACGAAAGACCCAACGGAAUUCAGCCGAAUGUUGUAAAGAUUAAAAUCACUCAUCUCAACGAGAUGCUUACUUUUAUAUA
Molecule: long non-coding RNA, 310 nt
Filed under: Polistes fuscatus (common paper wasp)
Lineage: Eukaryota; Metazoa; Arthropoda; Insecta; Hymenoptera; Vespidae
Description: uncharacterized LOC122518735
Source: RNAcentral